UCCGGAGGAGGCAAUCGUUAUCCGGAAGUAUUGGGCGUAAAGCGUCCGUAGGUGGAUGGCCAAGUCUGCUGUGAAAGGGUGGGGCUUAACCUCAUAAAGGCAGUGGAAACUGGCGAGCUAGAGUGCGGUAGGGGUAGGGGGAAUUCCCAGUGUAGCGGUGAAAUGCGUAGAGAUUGGGAAGAACAUCGGUGGCGAAAGCGCCCUGCUGGGCCUGCACUGACACUGAGGGACGAAAGCUAGGGGAGAGAAAGGG
Molecule: ribosomal RNA, 253 nt
Filed under: uncultured bacterium
Lineage: Bacteria
Description: partial 16S ribosomal RNA
Rfam family: Bacterial small subunit ribosomal RNA
Source: RNAcentral